AGCUUUGUGCGAUGGCAAUAUCGUAGCCAAUGAGGUUUAUCUGAGGUGUGAUUGUUGCUAAUUGGGGAAGAAAAAAAAAAAGACUUUGGUCUAGCCUGAUAGGUCCUUAAACCCCAAAUGUGGAAGACUUUAUUUAUU
Small nuclear RNA from Papio anubis (olive baboon), 138 nucleotides. Its record names the gene U4. It matches the Rfam family "U4 spliceosomal RNA". From Rfam's summary of the family: U4 small nuclear RNA (U4 snRNA) is a component of the major U2-dependent spliceosome. The structure of U4 snRNA from yeast and human has been reported. The record is from Ensembl. Lineage: Eukaryota; Metazoa; Chordata; Mammalia; Primates; Cercopithecidae.